GAUGACGCAGAGGACCCACCUGUUCCCAUUCCGAACACAGUAGUUAAGCUCUGUGGUGCCGAAGAUACUUGGCUGGAGACGGCCUGGGAAAAUAGGAAGGCGCC
This 104-nucleotide ribosomal RNA is filed under the name Oscillospiraceae bacterium. Lineage: Bacteria; Bacillati; Bacillota; Clostridia; Eubacteriales; Oscillospiraceae. The record is from RNAcentral.